Molecule: long non-coding RNA, 1539 nt
Organism: Nerophis ophidion (straightnose pipefish)
Lineage: Eukaryota; Metazoa; Chordata; Actinopteri; Syngnathiformes; Syngnathidae
Exons: 4
Source: RefSeq, a predicted model, not a curated record
ACGGCAAGGUUAAAGAACGUUUAGCCAUCUUUUCCGUCGAAGACAAAGACUCAUCAUGACUCAGCAAAAAAAGACAAAUCACUUACAUAUGUCAUAGUGUGAAGCUCCUGCACGCUCAGAAGAAGUAAGCGCUGUCCGUUACCAGUUGAUAAUUUGCCGCUUGGUAUGCUAAUGGUGGACCAGUGGCGGACCACAAGCGGAUCAGAACUGAUGAAUUGUGUCAGCACUGACUCCCUGGUGACCACCAAGAAGCAAAUAAAGACCUGGCAUCCCAUCAUAUUCCCCUGUCUGGCUAAUCUUUUUAUUACGGCAGCGAUGUGUGUGCAAGGCAUCAAAGGGAACGCCUAGAAAGCUUUAGAGAUGGAGCCCGUAUCAAACCCGCCUCCUGCUGCACCUUUCCACAGUCUACUUCCUGCUCAUGCUGACGUCUCGCGACCAACGUCCCAACGUCACAUGCCCACCCUGCUGAGACCUGCGGAAGCCACCGGGUCGGCCGUGUGACAGUAAAGCCAUGGGUACACAAGGCUACUACAUGACCAGAUCACGACCCUCGCGAGCACCACGCCUGAGCGACUAGUGGACCCAUGCAGUGCUGCAAAGUGCACUCUGGGCGUGUCACCGCACAGAAGAACCUUCAUGAUGCGGCUCUACCAGGAAGUCUCUGCGUUGGAUUGGACCAAAGUCAAAUAUGGAAUGAAAUAGUCCAAAGUAGCUGUCCGUAAGGCUGGGCGAUAUUGCCUUUUUUUAAUACCACGAUAUUCUGUAUAUUUCUCAGUAUUUUGCCUUAGCCUUGAAUGAACACUGUAUACAUAUAAUCACAGCAGUAUGGUGAUUCUAUGUGUCUACAUUAAAACAUUCUUGUUCAUACUGCACUAAUAUAUGCUGCUUUUAAACUUUCAAGCAGAGAAGGGAAUCACAACUAAGUCAAUUUACCAAAAAUUUAUUAAUUAAAGUUAUUAGCAGGUGACUUUUCAAAGGAUGCUACAUAUUAGCAGUAAUGCUACUUUUGGUAGCAACGCUUGUGCCCCACCACAUGACAAAUUAAAGUUAUCUAUUCGACAUAUUCCCCCCUGAAGCCGAACAACCGCCAGACGUUUUUCUUGAGAAUGAAUUUUUCCUUCAUUUGUUACGAGAUUCGCACCUUCUUUCUCUCGCAACAACCCGCUAGCAUCACAGCUAACGUUAGCCACGCCGCUACCUCUCUGCUGGGCGAGGGCGUAUACGUAUGUGACGCAUGACGUGACAGUAUGUGACAUAUGUAAAAAAUGUGCGCCUGCUUGUCUGUGAGAAGGAGACACAGGAAAGAGCAAGGACAGCCUGUAGUGUAAUGCCCGCAGCUAAAAACAACUGCAUGAGAACGUCUACUCGAAUAUUACGAUAUAGUCAUUUUUUAUAUCGCACAGAGACAAACCCGCGAUAUAUCGCGUAGAUCAAUAUAUCGCCCAGCCCUAACUUCCCGUGUACGGCGUGUCAAUCAAAUAAAUAAAUUCAAUAGAAGCAACAAUGCUCAACCGCCACCCGCCACCCGCCCCAUUCACU